AAUCAGGAGAACAACAAGCAUGACUGGGAUUACCGUUGAUAUGAGCGACGUGGAAGGCCAGGAACCGACUGAUGAACUCCAAAACCCCGCCGCCAUGAACGAUGUGCAUGCAGUUGCAGUUGCAGCGACGGUGGUGGACGCACAAGGACCUGCUCCUGUGAUUAAUAAUAAUAAUUAUUAUGAUAUUGAAAAGAUGAACAUGAACAACUUAGGGUACCAUGAAGAGCACCGUUUCUUGGCCAUGUUAUCACCCAGAAACAACCACACAAGGAGGAAUUCCCCAUCUCAUGAUGUUGUGGAGACCGCUCACUUCCUUCGCACAUGUGGCCUCUGCAAGCGCCAGCUCGCUUCAGGCCGUGACAUCUAUAUGUAUAG
RNAcentral lists this long non-coding RNA (375 nucleotides) under Malus domestica (apple). RNAcentral describes it as "long non-coding RNA (MDOM_LNC015365)". Lineage: Eukaryota; Viridiplantae; Streptophyta; Magnoliopsida; Rosales; Rosaceae. The record is from RNAcentral.